Molecule: ribosomal RNA, 435 nt
Filed under: uncultured bacterium
Lineage: Bacteria
Description: bacterial SSU rRNA
Rfam family: Bacterial small subunit ribosomal RNA
Source: RNAcentral
UACGGGAGGCAGCAGUGGGGAAUAUUGGACAAUGGGCGAAAGCCUGAUCCAGCAAUGCCGCGUGAGUGAUGAAGGCCUUAGGGUUGUAAAGCUCUUUUACCCGGGAUGAUAAUGACAGUACCGGGAGAAUAAGCUCCGGCUAACUCCGUGCCAGCAGCCGCGGUAAUACGGAGGGAGCUAGCGUUGUUCGGAAUUACUGGGCGUAAAGCGCACGUAGGCGGCUUUGUAAGUUAGAGGUGAAAAGCCCGGGGCUCAACCCCGGAACUGCCUUUUGAUACUGCAUGGCUUGAAUCCAGGAGAGGUGAGUGGAAUUCCGAGUGUAGAGGUGAAAUUCGUAGAUAUUCGGAAGAACACCAGUGGCGAAGGCGGCUCACUGGACUGGUAUUGACGCUGAGGUGCGAAAGCGUGGGGAGCAAACAGGGAUUAGAUACCCGU